UACAGAGGUCCCCAAGCGUUGUUCGGAUUCACUGGGCGUAAAGGGUGCGUAGGUGGCCAGGUAAGUUCGGUGUGAAAGCUCGGAGCUUAACUCCGAAAUGGCAUUGAAUACUAUCUGGCUAGAGGGUCGGAGGGGAGACUGGAAUUCUCGGUGUAGCAGUGAAAUGCGUAGAUAUCGAGAGGAACACCAGUGGCGAAGGCGAGUCUCUGGACGACACCUGACACUGAGGCACGAAAGCGUGGGGAGCAAACAGG
This 254-nucleotide ribosomal RNA is filed under the name uncultured bacterium. RNAcentral describes it as "partial 16S ribosomal RNA". It matches the Rfam family "Bacterial small subunit ribosomal RNA", at positions 524 to 776 of the family's 1533-position model. The record is from RNAcentral.